CAAUAGCGUAUAUUAAAGCUGUUGCGGUUAAAAAGCUCGUAGUUGGAUUUCUGUCAAGGACAACUGGUCCGCCCUCCGGGUGAGCACAUAGUUUGGUCUUGACAUCUUGCUGGAAGCUGUUGCUGCACUUGGCUGUGUGGCGCAGUGUUCAGCACUUUCACUUUGAGGAAAUUGGAGUGUUUCAAGCAGGCACAUGCCUUUGGACACAGUAGCAUGGAAUAAUUAGAUUGGGCUUUUGCUCCAAUUUGUCGGUUUCUGGAGCUGAGGUGAGUAUUAAUGGGGAUUGUUGGGGGCAUCCGAAUUUAGCCGUCAGAGGUGAAAUUCUUGGAUCUGCUAAAGACGGACAACUGCGAAAGCGUUUGCCCAGGAUGGUUUCAUUGA
Molecule: ribosomal RNA, 381 nt
Filed under: uncultured eukaryote
Lineage: Eukaryota
Description: partial 18S ribosomal RNA
Rfam family: Eukaryotic small subunit ribosomal RNA
Source: RNAcentral